Vicia faba (fava bean) is the source of this 234-nucleotide non-coding RNA. The record is from the annotation of a GenBank genome assembly. Lineage: Eukaryota; Viridiplantae; Streptophyta; Magnoliopsida; Fabales; Fabaceae.
AUGUGCUCUCAGAUUUUCUCCUCUUACGUCACACACAAAGUUCUUAGAUUCGUCUCAUUCAUCAAACCAUUGACUUCAGAUCCAUUAAACGGUCACGAUUACCUUGAACCCACGCCAACCGCAGAUCUGAAUACUAUUUCCAUUUUCUAUCUUGAUUCUUCACAAUCACGGAACAUUUUUAGCAUACGAAGAAAAUGGGAAUGGAUCCUACUCUUUCAGAUUGGCAAAGGGUAA